RNAcentral lists this small RNA (125 nucleotides) under Marmota monax (woodchuck). Lineage: Eukaryota; Metazoa; Chordata; Mammalia; Rodentia; Sciuridae. The record is from RNAcentral.
GCCGGGAGCGAUGGCACACCCCUGUAAUCCCAGCAGCUUGGGAGGCUGAGGCAGGAGGAUCGAGAGUUCAGAGCCAGCCUGGACAAUGGUGAGGCACUAAGCAACUCAGUGAGACCCUGUCUCUA